RNAcentral lists this ribosomal RNA (254 nucleotides) under uncultured bacterium. RNAcentral describes it as "partial 16S ribosomal RNA". It matches the Rfam family "Bacterial small subunit ribosomal RNA", at positions 524 to 776 of the family's 1533-position model. The record is from RNAcentral.
UACGGGGGGGGUAAACGUUGUUCGGAAUCACUGGGCAUAAAGAGCUCGUAGGCGGUUCGAUAAGUCGGACGUGAAAUCUCCACGCUCAACGUGGAGGGGCCGUUCGAUACUGUCGUGACUCGAGUCCGGUAGGGGAGUGUGGAAUUCCCGGUGUAGCGGUGAAAUGCGCAGAGAUCGGGAGGAACACCCGUAGCGAAGGCGGCACUCUGGGCCGGUACUGACGCUGAGGAGCGAAAGCGUGGGGAGCAAACAGG